This 1366-nucleotide ribosomal RNA is filed under the name uncultured bacterium. RNAcentral's name for it is "bacterial SSU rRNA". It matches the Rfam family "Bacterial small subunit ribosomal RNA", at positions 55 to 1426 of the family's 1533-position model. The record is from RNAcentral.
AUGCAAGUCGAACGGACUGAUUAGACUGCUUGCAGUCUUUGAAAGUUAGUGGCGGACGGGUGAGUAACGCGUGGGUAACCUGCCUCACACAGGGGGAUAACAGUUGGAAACGACUGUUAAUACCGCAUAAGCGCACAGUACCGCAUGGUACAGUGUGAAAAACUCCGGUGGUGUGAGAUGGACCCGCGUCUGAUUAGCUAGUUGGUGAGGUAACGGCCCACCAAGGCGACGAUCAGUAGCCGGCCUGAGAGGGUGUACGGCCACAUUGGGACUGAGACACGGCCCAAACUCCUACGGGAGGCAGCAGUAGGGAAUAUUGGACAAUGGGGGAAACCCUGAUCCAGCGACGCCGCGUGAGUGAUGAAGUAUCUCGGUAUGUAAAGCUCUAUCAGCAGGGAAGAAAAUUGACGGUACCUGACUAAGAAGCACCGGCUAAAUACGUGCCAGCAGCCGCGGUAAUACGUAUGGUGCAAGCGUUAUCCGGAUUUACUGGGUGUAAAGGGAGCGCAGACGGAAUGGCAAGUCAGAUGUGAAAGGCAUGGGCUUAACUCGUGGACUGCAUUUGAAACUGUCAAUCUUGAGUAUCGGAGGGGCAAGCGGAAUUCCUGGUGUAGCGGUGAAAUGCGUAGAUAUCAGGAGGAACACCGGUGGCGAAGGCGGCUUGCUGGACGAUAACUGACGUUGAGGCUCGAAAGCGUGGGGAGCAAACAGGAUUAGAUACCCUGGUAGUCCACGCAGUAAACGAUGAAUACUAGGUGCUGGGGUCCACAGGGCUUCGGUGCCGGCGCUAACGCAUUAAGUAUUCCACCUGGGGAGUACGUUCGCAAGAAUGAAACUCAAAGGAAUUGACGGGGACCCGCACAAGCGGUGGAGCAUGUGGUUUAAUUCGAAGCAACGCGAAGAACCUUACCAAGUCUUGACAUCUCUCUGAAAGCUUGUGGAAACAUGAGCCCUCUCAUUCGGAGCAGGGAAGACAGGUGGUGCAUGGUUGUCGUCAGCUCGUGUCGUGAGAUGUUGGGUUAAGUCCCGCAACGAGCGCAACCCUUAUGCUUAGUAGCCAGCGGUCCGGCCGGGCACUCUAAGCAGACUGCCAGGAAUAACCUGGAGGAAGGUGGGGAUGACGUCAAAUCAUCAUGCCCCUUAUGAUUUGGGCUACACACGUGCUACAAUGGCGUUCAACAAAGGGAAGCGAGCCCGCGAGGGGGAGCAAAUCCCAAAAACAACGUCCCAGUUCGGACUGUAGUCUGCAACCCGACUACACGAAGCUGGAAUCGCUAGUAAUCGCGAAUCAGAAUGUCGCGGUGAAUACGUUCCCGGGUCUUGUACACACCGCCCGUCACACCAUGGGAGUCGAUAACGCCCGAAG